RNAcentral lists this ribosomal RNA (429 nucleotides) under Bacteroidota bacterium. Its description in RNAcentral is "Bacteroidetes bacterium partial 16S ribosomal RNA". It matches the Rfam family "Bacterial small subunit ribosomal RNA", at positions 355 to 776 of the family's 1533-position model. Lineage: Bacteria; Pseudomonadati; Bacteroidota. The record is from RNAcentral.
UAGGGAAUCUUCCGCAAUGGACGCAAGUCUGACGGAGCAACGCCGCGUGAGUGAAGAAGGAUUUCGGUUCGUAAAACUCUGUUGUUAGAGAAGAACAGCGCAUAGAGUAACUGUUAUGCGUGUGACGGUAUCUAACCAGAAAGCCACGGCUAACUACGUGCCAGCAGCCGCGGUAAUACGUAGGUGGCAAGCGUUGUCCGGAUUUAUUGGGCGUAAAGCGAGCGCAGGCGGUCAAUUAAGUCUGAUGUGAAAGCCCCCGGCUCAACCGGGGAGGGUCAUUGGAAACUGGUUGACUUGAGUGGAGAAGAGGAGAGUGGAAUUCCAUGUGUAGCGGUGAAAUGCGUAGAUAUAUGGAGGAAAACCAGUGGGGAAGGCGACUCUCUGGUCUGUAACUGACGCGGAGGCUAGAAAGCGUGGGUAGCAAACAGG